RNAcentral lists this ribosomal RNA (841 nucleotides) under uncultured bacterium. RNAcentral describes it as "bacterial SSU rRNA". It matches the Rfam family "Bacterial small subunit ribosomal RNA", at positions 27 to 901 of the family's 1533-position model. The record is from RNAcentral.
GAAUCAACGCGGGCGGCGCGCCUAACACAUGCAAGUCGAACGAGAAAGGGGAGCAAUCCCUGAGUACAGUGGCGUACGGGUGAGUAACACGUGGAUGAUCUACCUCUUAGUGGGGAAUAACUAUGGGAAACCGUAGCUAAUACCGCAUAAGCCUGAGAAGGGAAAGCAGCAAUGCGCUGAGAGAGGAGUCCGCGGCCGAUUAGCUAGUUGGUGGGGUAAGAGCCCACCAAGGCUGAGAUCGGUAGCCGGCCUGAGAGGGCACACGGCCACACUGGCACUGAAACACGGGCCAGACUCCUACGGGAGGCAGCAGUGGGGAAUCUUGCACAAUGGGGGAAACCCUGAUGCAGCGACGCCGCGUGAGCGAUGAAGCCCUUCGGGGUGUAAAGCUCUUUCGGCAGGGAAGAUUAUGACGGUACCUGCAGAAGCAGCUGCGGCUAACUACGUGCCAGCAGCCGCGGUAAUACGUAGGCAGCAAGCGUUGUUCGGAGUUACUGGGCGUAAAGGGUGUGUAGGCGGUUGUUUAAGUUUGGUGUGAAAUCUCCCGGCUCAACCGGGAGGGUGCGCCGAAUACUGAAUGACUAGAGUGCGGGAGAGGAAAGUGGAAUUCCUGGUGUAGCGGUGAAAUGCGUAGAUAUCAGGAGGAACACCGGUGGUGUAGACGGCUUUCUGGACCGUAACUGACGCUGAGACACGAAAGCGUGGGUAGCAAACAGGAUUAGAUACCCUGGUAGUCCACGCCCUAAACGAUGCAUAUUUGGUGUGGGCAGUUCAUUCUGUCCGUGCCGGAGCUAACGCGUUAAAUAUGCCGCCUGGGGAGUACAGUCGCAAGGCUGAAACU